CCUACGGGAGGCAGCAGUAAGGAAUAUUGGACAAUGCUCGCAAGAGUGAUCCAGCCAUGCCGCGUGCAGGAAGAAUGCCCUAUGGGUAGUAAACUGCUUUUGAACUAGAGAAAACCCCAGUACGUGUACUGGGCUGAUAGUAUAGUUAGAAUAAGCAUCGGCUAACUUCGUGCCAGCAGCCGCGGUAAGACGAAGGAUGCAAGCGUUAUCCGGAUUCAUUGGGUUUAAAGGGAGCGUAGGUGGACUGAUAAGUCAGUGGUGAAAUCUCCGAGCUUAACUCGGAAAUUGCCAUUGAUACUGUUGGUCUUGAGUACAGUUGCUGUGGGCGGAAUAUGACAUGUAGUGGUGAAAUACAUAGAGAUGUCAUAGAACACCGAUUGCGAAGGCAGCUCACAAAGCUGUAACUGACACUGAGGCUCGAAAGUGCGGGGAUCAAACAGGAUUAGAUACCCUGGUAGUCCGCACCGUAAACGAUGAUUACUCGCUGCUAGGGGGCAACCUUUAGUGGCUUAGCGAAAGCGAUAAGUAAUCCACCUGGGGAGUACGCCGGCAACGGUGAAACUCAAAGGAAUUGACGGCUUGAGGACNGCGAGGACGACACGAGGGAGGAGG
This 612-nucleotide ribosomal RNA is filed under the name uncultured bacterium. RNAcentral describes it as "bacterial SSU rRNA". It matches the Rfam family "Bacterial small subunit ribosomal RNA", at positions 338 to 951 of the family's 1533-position model. The record is from RNAcentral.